This 407-nucleotide ribosomal RNA is filed under the name uncultured Glomeromycotina. Its description in RNAcentral is "SSU rRNA". It matches the Rfam family "Eukaryotic small subunit ribosomal RNA", at positions 569 to 981 of the family's 1831-position model. Lineage: Eukaryota; Fungi; Glomeromycota. The record is from RNAcentral.
AGCAGCCGCGGUAAUUCCAGCUCCAAUAGCGUAUAUUAAAGUUGUUGCAGUUAAAAAGCUCGUAGUUGAAUUUCGGGAUCGAAUUGUUGGUCGUGCUUCGGUACGCACUGGCAUUAUCGGUUCCUACCUUCUGAAGAACCGCGAUGUCAUUAAUUUGGUGUCGUGGGGAAUCAGGACUGUUACUUUGAAAAAUUAGAGUGUUUAAAGCAAGGCUUACGCUUGAAUACAUUAGCAUGGAAUAAUGAAAUAGGACGUUUGAUUCUAUUUUGUUGGUUUCUAGGAUCGACGUAAUGAUUAAUAGGGAUAGUUGGGGGCAUUAGUAUUCAAUUGUCAGAGGUGAAAUUCUUGGAUUUAUUGAAGACUAACUACUGCGAAAGCAUUUGCCAAGGAUGUUUUCAUUAAUCAAG